Long non-coding RNA from Stylophora pistillata, 696 nucleotides. NCBI's taxonomy places the organism in Eukaryota, Metazoa, Cnidaria, Anthozoa, Scleractinia, Pocilloporidae. The record is from RefSeq and is a predicted model, not a curated record.
CUUUCUUCUGAUUGGCCAUUGUGAUGACUUUGGUUUUACGAAACUCACUCUAAAAACGUGGGUCUUCGCUGAAAACGUCAGUUUACUCAUACGACUUGAAAUCUUGCAGUGGAAGUGCAAGAAAAAAUCAAACAAAACUCACUCAGUGGAUACUUGAAAAACUGCAGUUUUUAACACCUCAUGUAGCAACUCGGGCAACAGUAUCAAAUUUUGAAUUGGUUGUCAUCGAGUAAAGAUAGCAGGACCUGGCGGAAUAAACAGCAAGCCUAGAGGCUAAAGCAAUGAAGAACGUCGAACCAUAGUUGGCUUAGCAGUAUUUAUUUGGCACUUCCGGUCCUUGACCUUUCUGGCUGGCAGUGAGUUUUCGUUAAGUAGUUGACCAAGAAUAGCCUCAUGGGGAAAAUAUAAAACAACAUAGUUUGUUAUGUGAAUAUUUUAGUCUACAUACUGUAUGCUUUUACGCUAAUAAUUAAGGAGCAUAUCGUGACUUGUUCAUCUUAUGCUUAGGACUCUAUUCUAAUCUAUAGAUUCAGGCUGGAUAUGGCAUAACAUUUGUGCAUUCAUUAUCUAUUGUUUUCAUUUUAUCCCUUAAUGCUCUCGAGUAAUUUCUAAAAGAUCGCGUGAAAUAAUGAUAGCCACAGGUCAAAAAAUGAACCAUAGUUUCCGUGUGACUCUGAUCAAAACAUGACCGUACUA